GACGUAGGUGGCGAACGUUAUCCGGAAUUAUUGGGCGUAAAGGGUGCGUAGAUGGUAUAAUAAGUUAUCAGUGGCAAAUCGAGGCUCAACCUCGUGGAAGUUGGUAAUACUGUUAUACUUGAGUGCAGGAGAGGUUAAUGGAAUUCCCUGUGGAGCGGUAAAAUGCGUUAGAUAUAGGGAGGAACACCAAUAACGGCGAAGGCAAUUAACUAUCCUGCUACUGACAUUGAGGCACGAAAGCGUGGGGAGCAAAACGG
RNAcentral lists this ribosomal RNA (257 nucleotides) under uncultured bacterium. Its description in RNAcentral is "partial 16S ribosomal RNA". It matches the Rfam family "Bacterial small subunit ribosomal RNA", at positions 524 to 776 of the family's 1533-position model. The record is from RNAcentral.